This 467-nucleotide ribosomal RNA is filed under the name uncultured bacterium. RNAcentral's name for it is "partial 16S ribosomal RNA". It matches the Rfam family "Bacterial small subunit ribosomal RNA", at positions 29 to 507 of the family's 1533-position model. The record is from RNAcentral.
ACGCACGCUGGCGGCGUGCUUAACACCUGCAAGUCGCACGGAAAGGCCCUGCUUUUGUGGGGUGCUCGAGUGGCGAACGGGUGAGUAACACGUGAGUAACCUGCCCUUGACUUUGGGGUAACUUCAGGAAACUGGGGCUAAUACCGGAUAGGAGCUCCUGCUGCAUGGUGGGGGUUGGAAAGUUUCGGCGGUUGGGGAUGGACUCGCGGCUUAUCAGCUUGUUGGUGGGGUAGUGGCUUACCAAGGCUUUGACGGGUAGCCGGCCUGAGAGGGUGACCGGCCACAUUGGGACUGAGAUACGGCCCAGACUCCUACGGGAGGCAGCAGUGGGGAAUAUUGCACAAUGGGCGGAAGCCUGAUGCAGCAACGCCGCGUGCGGGAUGACGGCCUUCGGGUUGUAAACCGCUUUCGCCUGUGACGAAGCGUGAGUGACGGUAAUGGGUAAAGAAGCACCGGCUAACUACGUG